RNAcentral lists this ribosomal RNA (743 nucleotides) under Salinispora tropica. RNAcentral describes it as "bacterial SSU rRNA". It matches the Rfam family "Bacterial small subunit ribosomal RNA", at positions 77 to 842 of the family's 1533-position model. The record is from RNAcentral. Lineage: Bacteria; Bacillati; Actinomycetota; Actinomycetes; Micromonosporales; Micromonosporaceae.
CCUUCGGGGUACUCGAGCGGCGAACGGGUGAGUAACACGUGAGUAACCUGCCCCAGGCUUUGGGAUAACCCCGGGAAACCGGGGCUAAUACCGGAUAUGACUGGCUGCCGCAUGGUGGUUGGUGGAAAGAUUUUUUGGCUUGGGAUGGGCUCGCGGCCUAUCAGCUUGUUGGUGGGGUGAUGGCCUACCAAGGCGGCGACGGGUAGCCGGCCUGAGAGGGCGACCGGCCACACUGGGACUGAGACACGGCCCAGACUCCUACGGGAGGCAGCAGUGGGGAAUCUUGCACAAUGGGCGGAAGCCUGAUGCAGCGACGCCGCGUGAGGGAUGACGGCCUUCGGGUUGUAAACCUCUUUCAGCAGGGACGAAGCGUUUGUGACGGUACCUGCAGAAGAAGCGCCGGCCAACUACGUGCCAGCAGCCGCGGUAAGACGUAGGGCGCAAGCGUUGUCCGGAUUUAUUGGGCGUAAAGAGCUCGUAGGCGGCUUGUCGCGUCGACUGUGAAAACCCGUGGCUCAACUGCGGGCUUGCAGUCGAUACGGGCAGGCUAGAGUUCGGUAGGGGAGACUGGAAUUCCUGGUGUAGCGGUGAAAUGCGCAGAUAUCAGGAGGAACACCGGUGGCGAAGGCGGGUCUCUGGGCCGAUACUGACGCUGAGGAGCGAAAGCGUGGGGAGCGAACAGGAUUAGAUACCCUGGUAGUCCACGCUGUAAACGUUGGGCGCUAGGUGUGGGGAGCCUCUCC